CGGGUUCUUUGACAUUGGAAUGCUAGCGACACUAUUACAUACGUGAGUCAAAAGACGCAAACGGUCCCGGCUAAGGUAAGGCUGCAGCCGUGGAGUUAACCGUGCGUGAGACCGCAAAGGGAUGCAAUGUGUUACAGGCUGGAUUCCUAUGGCUUAGGAUCGGGGUCCCGACAAGCUCGAUAAACACACGAGUUAGCGGAAGCAACAAAUAUCUGAGUACAUACAUUAAACAUGACAUGCCUUAGAGAAGGCUAGCACAAAAGAUACAAUGAUCGAAUGGGGCAAGGCCUCCUAUCUGGGAGCCUCCUAACUACUCCUGGUCUUCAGCGGCCUCCACCUAGUAGCAGGCACCGUCGGGGUAGCAGUCGUCGCCGACGGGAUACUCCAUCUCCUGGGCUCCAUCAUAUGGUCGCAGCAACGGAUCAAGGGGACAAAGGGGGAGCAAAGCAAUGGUGAGUACUCAUCCAAAGUACUCGCAAUACUUAUAUCAGAACUAUGCUAAGUCUGCAUCAGUAUCAAAGAAGGGGGUUUAAAUGUGGCCUUACUGCAGCAAUGCAAGAAUAGAGAGAGAAGGCCUAGUCCUAUCGAAGACUAGCGUCUUUAAGGGUCUUGCAGCAAUAGACGAGAGUACAACAGGGGAACACAAUUAAUAGUCAUAUUGUUACAACAAUAUUAAUAUGAGGUCACGCCCAGAGAUCCUUCCUCUUCUCCCUGCGAGGAAGCAAUCCCGGAGCAACUAUUCCAGUUAAGUAACAAUUGUAGUUGUAUAAGAUCAGGGCACAACUCCAAGUCGUCCUGUAACCGUUGACACGACUAUUCCAAUAGAUAAGUUCUUCCCUGCAGGGGUGCACAACAUAUUCCCCGUCACGCUCGAUAACACUCUAGCUGGACACACUUUUCUGGGUCAUGCCCGGCCUCGGAAUAUCGACACGUCGCAGCCCCACCUAAGCUCAAAAAAGAGGCCAGCCCGCCGGUCUAAAUCCUAAGCACAACGGGUUCAUCGGCCCACUUGCCCUCUGCGCUCCUGCAUGAUGCGUGGGCGGCCGACGUCAGUCCUAGCACCCCUGAAUACAAGCGCGAUGCAUCUCGGGACCACUCGGGCGCGCACCGCUCCAUUGCUGACGUCUAAAGAGAUUCGGCUGAUACCACGGCGCUGAAUACCCAAAAUUCUUCACACGUAGACGGUUAGUGCGUAAUAAGGCCUUCCGACCAACCCAGAUCAAAUACCCAAAUCCAUUAUCAUUUUAAUUAAUUCAUCGACAGAUCCACGCGGGAAUCCACUCGCCUAACAUCUAUUCAUCAAAGAUCCGAGUAACAUGGUUGAGUAACUGUGUGGUUGUAACAUCAAGGGGAAUCCGUGGUAUCACCCUCCUUGGAUUCCGAACGAUGUAACCGUCAAGGUGGACUUAUCAGAAUCACCCUCGAGGGUCCCACACUUGAGGGGUUGCACGACAGAGUCAUCGUCGGGAGUGGUGAAGGAGGAAAUCACCCUCGAUAACCAUGACCGACUAGCUGUACAACAGAGAUAUCAUCCUGAGUACUUCGCGAGGUGUAACCCUCAGUACCGAAUAGUAGCUCGUCAUACAAGUAAGGGGUUGUGAGUGAUGUGUCGGGUCUUGCUCGUCUAUCAAGGAUUGAUACUCGACAAUAAAGCGGGGCAACUGGACUAAGGGGUCAGAGGGGAAGACUGGUCAACCUAUACUAAAUAGUUUAAAGGUGUGGUAUUGAAAGUAGAAGUUCAUCAAAAAUAGGCUAUGCAUCAAAUAUAGGAGCUAACUACAACAAUAGAAAAAUUCUAAUGCAAGCAGGAGGAAGAUAGACAUACGCGAUAUAGGCAUGAUCAAGGGGAUUUGCUUGUCUGGUUGCUUUGCAGACAAAAAGGAUCCUUGACUGGGAAGUAGUCGAUCAUCGGAUCAUCAUCGGUCUCGGGGUCUACCGGAAAGGAAGUAAUGGAGGGGAAACACAAUAAAUAACAAAACAAUCAAAACAAUCACAAAGCAAGACCUGGCUUAAAGGAAGCGUUAGGCAUGAGCUAGCGCAGUAUCAUCUGUCAUAGACAGAUCGGGAAAAAUAUCAGAUGAUAUUUUACGGGUCUCUGGCUACUACCGUUUAGAUGAAAAUGAUGGAAAAGUUCCAUGUUUUUUAUGCUAUGGACGCGUGACAAAAAAAUGGAUGGCGUAUUCGGGUUCGUCUCGUUUUGCAAAUGAACUUUCAUGUUAGAAAUAUUUUCA
Molecule: long non-coding RNA, 2231 nt
Filed under: Hordeum vulgare
Lineage: Eukaryota; Viridiplantae; Streptophyta; Magnoliopsida; Poales; Poaceae
Description: long non-coding RNA (HVUL_LNC006666)
Source: RNAcentral